RNAcentral lists this unclassified non-coding RNA (1763 nucleotides) under Pectinophora gossypiella (pink bollworm). RNAcentral's name for it is "uncharacterized LOC126378329". Lineage: Eukaryota; Metazoa; Arthropoda; Insecta; Lepidoptera; Gelechiidae. The record is from RNAcentral.
UUGAUAUUAACUGUGUGGUAGUGGCCAGUGUUUAGUGAUUUUUCAUUGAAGAAAAAAACAAGAUGGCGUCAAAAAUGAUGACGUUGUAUCGAACCAUCAAGGGAACGAGCACUACAAAAAGGAAAAGGCGAGAAAGAAGCCUAGGGCCGUUUGAGGCGGCGACAGGAGGCGAGAUGGUGUCUAGAAGACGUAUACUGUCGCGGUCGCGCGACGACCUCACACAAGCCUUUGCCACACAGAUGGAGGAGGAGGAAGAUGUGUGGUACCAGAAGGAUAAGCUUUAUAAGGAACACAUACAAGAAGUUCUGGAUAAAUGGACACAGAUCGACGACGAGAUCUGGGCGAAAGUGAUAGUGUUCGAGCGUAAUCGUCGUGUCGCCAAGGCAUAUGCGCGGGCGCCGGUGCUCACAAUCAAUGGGUCCGAUGAUGGAUUUGAUGGCAUGAGAAUCGGACUUUGCGGAUUCGACAACCCACAUAGAGACCAGAAAACAGAUGAAUUGAAAAGGCACAUAGGACAGGGCGUGAAAAUAAAAAUGGACGACGCCGGCAACAUACUCAUCAGGCGCUACUCCAAGAGUAGCGUGUCUGUGAAGAGUACAGCGGCGACAAGCACCGAGGAGACGGCUAUUGGCCAGGACAUACUCAAGCUGCCUGGAUAUGCGCUCGAACAGGAGAAGAUAUUUAAGCUAUUCGACAUGAAGAAGUUCCAGUCGAACGUGAACAGGGAGCUCCGGAGGUCGUAUCCUGACCGCAGACGGUUGGAGACCCAGUGCCUCAGCGCCAUUGCCUUCGUCAAGUCUGAAAACGAGCUGCUCGACUGCCCCAUCUGGGUGCUCAUCAUCAACGUCGUCGCUAUGGACAUGCUCAAGUCUAAGCUGCCUCCAGUCCAAAGACCACUGGACAUCAAGAACAGGCCUCGCAUCCCGAUUCCUGACGAGGACCCCUAUAGCAUCGCGAGCUCCAACGCCAACGGGUCAGGCUCCAGUGGAAGCUCAGGAGGCUACGGCCACAACGGGCACGGCGUAGUAGCAGCUACCAGGGAACAGCUGAUGAUGCAGAUGGGCCAGCGACGGGGAGACAAACCGCCCAAACUGCCGCCGAGGGAGAAUGGAUAUGGGCCCGCUGAUAUUCCCAAGCCGGAUUACGAUGACAUCGAUGUGAAUGGGCGUGUGCCGACACAGUUCCCGAGAGGCAAAUCGGAUAAGGGCAAAGACAAUAAGAAAUACGACGAUCCGUACUACUGCGGCCUGCGCGCUCGUGUGCCAAACUUCGUGAAGACGAAUGGCGUGAAGCACCUACCGCAAAUGACGGAGCGCCUCACGUUGAAGGAAGCUCCAAUCCCGGUGCCAAGCAAGCGCUUCAGCGUUGCCCACGCGCACCCCGGCCCGUUCCCGCCACACAUGGCGCCGUUCGCGCAUGCGCCCAUGCCACCCGCGGCUCUCUGGCAUGCACGCUCCUACGAGAGCGGAAUCGGUGCGUACGACCGUCCGAAAAAAGAAAAGCUCAUGUACCAAUUCUAUCCUGACAGGGAGCGGCGGAUUAUCCGGCCGCUCAUCAUCCAGCAGCCGCGCUAGUGUACAUACAGACUAACCCGCACUUUAACUCCGGACUCUUCGCUCCAAUCUUGAUGGAGAACAUUAUGACCCGUAUGCGUUGUAUGGCCGUCUCCCCCUCCCCGGCCGUGGAUUCCCCCCUCCCCCGGCGCCGCACGCGCGCCAUAUGUUCAUCGGAGAGUGGGACUAGACUUAUACACACCCUUAGAU